UCCUUGGUGGUCCAGUGGUUAGGAUGCUGCACUUCCACUGCCAAGGACCUGGGUUUCAUCCCUGGUUGGGGAA
Molecule: non-coding RNA, 73 nt
Organism: Ovis aries (sheep)
Lineage: Eukaryota; Metazoa; Chordata; Mammalia; Artiodactyla; Bovidae
Source: Rfam